RNAcentral lists this long non-coding RNA (2055 nucleotides) under Panax ginseng (ginseng). RNAcentral describes it as "long non-coding RNA (PGIN_LNC016633)". The record is from RNAcentral. Lineage: Eukaryota; Viridiplantae; Streptophyta; Magnoliopsida; Apiales; Araliaceae.
UUAGAAACUGUUUCACUGUUUCUCCAAGCUUUACCGGAGGGAAGUUAAAGUCUGUUGAAUAUAAGUUUCUCUCUCAAAAAUCAAUUAGCCUAGGGUUACAAAAUGCCCCCUUUAACUCCAAUCCAGUCCCAGGACCCUAGCAUAGCCUCCUCAACAACCAAGGAUUCUUCACAGGCGAAGAUGGUUUCUGCUCAUUCAAGGUAAAAGCUGAUUUUACUUUUUAUUUUUUACUUUUCUUUCCCAUUUGUGUUUAUUGGGUUGUGGGUGCACACUAAUUUUUCUUCAAGCCCUUAAUUCUUGUUCACAUGUUAACCCUGUCUUUGUGAGGUUUUUGUUGAUGUAAAAACACUUGCAUGUUGGUAUAUUUGACUUCUGUUGCAAUUUUUAUUUUAAAGAUGUGAUUUUUAGAAAAGUUAUCUUUAAAUUGUACAGUUUGUCAUGUCACGUGGGAUUAAUUAGGGUUGUUUAUUUUGUAAUGACCUUGGUUCUGGCUUUUAUUUGAAAUAGUGAUUAAAAAUAUUCUGAUAAAUGAUAAUGGGAGUUUGCAAGAUUGAAGUUAAAAAUGACAUGUGUUUCAGAACAAUGGUUAUUAAAGUAUUUAUGUUUUUAAACCAUAGAAUUAUUGCAAUCAUAAAGAUGAGGAUGUGACAGAUGUUUCCUCAUCUAUUAUAAGGACAUUUACUACUUUAGUAAGCUUGGUGGAAUGCAAGCAAGUUAUACCCUCAAAUGUAGUUUUUAUGAUUGUAAAGAGUGCCUGCUUUUUACCUAGAUUGUCAUAGUUAUAGCAACAAAGGAGAUUCUAUGAGAGAUGCUAUAGAGAAGUUUCUUAAGGAGGAGUAAUAAGGUGAGUUCGGGCAUCAUUAGUGGAAGAAGAUGUUUGCAGUGAUUGAUUGUAAAGGAGUGUUAAUUGGUAAAGAGGAAAAAAGUUAACAUGCCGUGUUGGGAGAUGGCUAUGGAUUAUGGAGGAAUACAUUAAAAAGGUGGAGCUCAUUGAAGUUAGUGACUGAUAAGAAAUAUGGCGCAACCAUGAUGAGUUUAUGUCACUAUGGUGGUGGACAAUGGGCAAAGGCAUUCUGCAGAAUGAUUUAUUUGGGAUUAAACCCCUUAAAGAAGAAUUGCCUGAUUUGUGCUGCUUCUCUGGCGUUAAUUGCAACGAUUCUCAGACCUGCGUUUACCAUCAUUUGGCAACCAUGACUUGUGGAAGUUCAGUUAUCAAUGGUCACUUAGGUCUUUAUAUACUAAUGAAUCAAUUGAAUUCCUUAAACAUUUGAUCUUUGCCUUAAGUUGACUUAGUAAUGUACUUGUGUAAUAGAAAUUGCCACAUUGAAGCCUAUGAAGUAUAUAUCAUGAACCUGAAUAAAGUUUCUAGAGGAUUCAGCAGUGCUUCAAAUAGUCCACCUUGUUCACAUGUUUUAGGAGCCAUUUCUCAUUCUUAUGAGUAACUCUCUUUUUUCCCUCUGUUGAUAAAAACAUACUCUAGAGGAGUACUAAUCUGUAAUAUCAAACUGUCAUUUAUUGGAGUCACUUACUCUUGAGAAGAUGUUUUAAGCCCAUUUGGCUCUUGAUUGCUUCAUUUAACAUUUUACACUGAAAACUGAAUAUGUAUUUAAGCUUUUCACAUUUUGAUUGCUGCCUUUUAGUGAAGCGGUCUCUGCCUUAAGUACUGCACCUCACACUUGCUUUCUUCUGCAAUGCCAGGUCCAGAAUUAAGCGCGAUGCUUCAAAGAUUUUGCAUUGUUCAAAACUUGCAGAUUAUCAGUAAAAAUCUGUCUUCUCCAGCUUUACUGGAACAUGUAAACUGCUAAGCCUAUGAGGAGUAGUAGGGAAUGAAGCCGCCGGUCCGCAGAUCAAGUCUGUGUUCAAUGAUUGUAUUAUACUGAUCUUUCCUGAUAUGGGAUUAGCAUAUCCUAUAGUUUUAAUUGUUUUUUUUUCCUGCAAAUUUUACCCCAAUAGUUUCAUCUGAUUCUUGUAUCUAAACUAGUCAUAUUCUAGUAUGAUGAUGAUGAUCAAGUGUUGAUGCUCAAUUUUCAUUACAGCUUCUAUAAUUGCUGCAAG